This 379-nucleotide unclassified non-coding RNA is filed under the name uncultured bacterium. RNAcentral describes it as "contains 16S-23S intergenic spacer region". The record is from RNAcentral.
UCCAGCUUAUCACUGGCGGUCUCCUGAGAGUUGCGCCUUACGGCAUGCCAACACAGGACAAGGGUUGCGCUCGUUGCGGGACUUAACCCAACAUCUCACGACACGAGCUGACGACGGCCAUGCAGCACCUGUGUUCUGGUUCUCUUUCGAGCACUUCCACAUCUCUGCAGAAUUCCAGACAUGUCAAGGGUAGGUAAGGUUUUUCGCGUUGCAUCGAAUUAAACCACAUCAUCCACCGCUUGUGCGGGUCCCCGUCAAUUCCUUUGAGUUUCAACCUUGCGGUCGUACUCCCCAGGCGGGGUACUUCCUGCGUUAGCGCCGGCACCCAGAGGGUCGCUCCCCCAGGCACCUAGUACCCAUCGUUUACGGCGUGGACUAC